RNAcentral lists this ribosomal RNA (93 nucleotides) under Micromonospora carbonacea. The record is from RNAcentral. RNAcentral also lists the same sequence under 16 other names. Lineage: Bacteria; Bacillati; Actinomycetota; Actinomycetes; Micromonosporales; Micromonosporaceae.
ACGCCCGGUUACAUUCCGAACCCGGAAGCUAAGCCCUCCAGCGCCGAUGGUACUGCACUCGGGAGGGUGUGGGAGAGUAGGACACCGCCGGAC